UACAAAAAAAAGAAAAUCAUGGAAUUCAGAAUAUAUUUCAAAAUCUUUCAUUAUAAAAACGUUAAAAUCUAUGUCAUGUCCACAGGAGCAGUUUCGGCACAAAGGGUGGCGCAUCUUUUCAGUUUCGGCUCACCGUCUGAAACGUCCUCCUAAAACAUCACAAACACUCAGCUGCAGCUCUCAUAGCCGCCUGCUCCCAGAUUUCAACAUGGCAGCAGAGAGAAACCAUUGGGUAAAAACAUCCUUACCCUUCGACCCAGUCGUGUGAGUAAGCCUUCAUCGUCCAGAGCUCCUAAGGUGUAGAGCUGCUCCAUGGCUGUGAUCAGAGUCUCCAUAGGAGGAGCGUCCAUGAAGUCAAAAGACAGCAGAUCAUUGAUGCCCAUUGCCUGGAGGAGUCAAUAGUAAUAUGAAUGAUGUCAUCCUAUGCAUGAUAAGAACUGAAAGACAACAGCACCUACCUUCAGCGACAGCACAGUGCUGGCCAAGUUGGUUCUCUGGAUUUCGGGUACAUUGGUUGUCAGCAUCUCAUCUCUGUAGGCUCUCUCAGUGUACAGCCUGUAACACUUUCCAGGGCCUGUUCUGCCGGCACGACCUGCCCUCUGCUUA
Long non-coding RNA from Oreochromis niloticus (Nile tilapia), 606 nucleotides. RefSeq lists it as uncharacterized. NCBI's taxonomy places the organism in Eukaryota, Metazoa, Chordata, Actinopteri, Cichliformes, Cichlidae. The transcript is spliced from 3 exons. The record is from RefSeq and is a predicted model, not a curated record.